Molecule: long non-coding RNA, 813 nt
Organism: Lathyrus oleraceus (garden pea)
Lineage: Eukaryota; Viridiplantae; Streptophyta; Magnoliopsida; Fabales; Fabaceae
Exons: 2
Source: RefSeq, a predicted model, not a curated record
UGUCUGAUCCAAACCGGAUUUUGGGCAACGGGUCGAAUAAUUUCAGGUUACAAAUUCAAACGGAUCUUUGAAUUUGAUAACAUCAGAUGAUUUCGAUCGGGCUCGGUUGAUAAUAUUUGGCCCGUCAGAAUCCAAAUCCGACCGAAGAUACACAUAUGAGAGUUGAACUUUCCGUUAUUCUUGACCCAAGCUAGCCCUCAAUCCAUGGCCCAAAAUAAAUAUUCAUUAGGUUAGAUUAGGGUUGCCUACUUUCAUCAUCUCUCCAAUCUUUGGUGAUUCCAUCCGAAUAAAAUUAGGAAGCAGAUGAAACAUAUGUGAUUGAUCUAAGCCACUGUGAGUUGGAGGAGAAAGUGAAUGUAAAUUGUAAAAUGAUUUUCAUGCAAAAAUAUUAGUUAGAUUUAAGUUUUGAGCAUUUAUUGUUGUAAAUGAUAUUAUUUAAAAUGUGAAUGUAAGUUCUAAUGGUAGUAUUAACACUGGUUUUAUUGUUGUGUAGUUUAGUAGUUUUACCAAAUAAGAGUUUGUAUUCACAUCCAUUGGCUUUAUAUAGAUCCUCCUGAAAAAAUAUUGUCCUCCUGCCAUAGUUUUUAGUGUAGAAGAAAACCAUGCUCUCAUAGAUCUUGUAUGUUUUUUGUCACAUUUAUUUUCAUCCAAUUUUUUUUGGUCAUGUUUCUUAAGUUACAGGUUGUACAAAGGUGGAGGGGACUAUGUUGUUAACAUUAUAAAAGAAUGUUAAUCUUGUAAAUUGCAAUGUAAUAGUAAAUAAUAUAACAUGUUAGUAUUUGUGUUUGGGUAUCUUAGUAUUGUGGUUCUAUU